AGGAUGCUCGCUAAAAACCAAGGCGCUGCUAACCGCGGCGACUCGGCUCCAUCUACAUCUCUUUAUCCAGUGCAUUUGCCUCGUGCUGACGCCAGCCAUUGGCUAUGGAAUUUCUCGCGGCCUGGCACGGACCAGUAUGAACGAGGACCUGGUCAACGGCCUGGUGGUGGCCAUGACCAUGCCCACGACCAUCAGCACGAACGUGGUGUUCACAAAGCAGUCGGGCGGCAACGAGGCCGCCGCGCUCAUCAACGCGGUGGUUGGCAACAUCAUCGGCAUCUUCGUGUCGCCAGGUCAGAAGCCUGGGAGCGCUGCGAGGGGGGAAGGGCCAAGCGUUGACGGGUUUGGGUUUGGGUGCGUGGGGCUGUGCCACGACUGUGCAGGUCUGGCCCGACUGGGCCCUGCCUCUGCUGGAGGCCGUGCAGCUUCACCCCCCAGCCUCAUCAUGAUACUACGUGUCGCACAUGUACUACCAGCUGCCACGCCACCGCCUGACUGCACCCGGCUGCACGUGCCUCCUUUGGGCUUACCCCACUUUACCCCCCCCCCCGUGCUUUUUACGCCCAGGCUGGCUGUACUUGUACCUCAAGCGCUCGGGUCAAGCCUCUUACAGCGAGUGAGUUACGAGCGAUGGAAAGGGAGGGAGGGGUGCGGGGGCCUGGGGCAGGGGCAGGGGGCCCAGACCGCAACCAGGGGUGGUCGGCGCGGGUGCUGGGCGGCGGCGGAGGAAGCGAGGAGGCAGCGUAGGAGGAAGAAGAGGAGGCGCAGGCGGAGGAACAGGCGAGCGUGAGGAGGGUGCGGAGCAGGCGAAGGGGCACUGGGUGUGUGCCGGGGUUAGCCGUCCAUGUAUUAGGAUGGAGGGGUGACCGGGUGCGGCCGAGGACCUACAGCUGUGGCCCGCAGAGUAACAGGGCAGAGCUCGCAGUGUGGUGGCACGUGGCAGGUUGGCACACGGCAGCCCCGAGGGAGGCACGGCGCGGGGCAGGGCAGGGCGGCUGGGGGCGGCCAGCCCGCAACCCGAGCGAUGUGGGGGUGUGGCGGGAGGCACUGAGUCGGGCUCGGGCUGGCGUGGAGGGGCGGAUUGCAUCGAGGGCUGGAUUCACGGAGGGCUGGAGGCGUCGAUGGCGUCGAUGCAGCCGCCCGGAGCCGCGGUCCGCACCCCCCCGCCGCGGCCCUGCGCUCCAUGCCGCUCCACACGCCAAUCUGCUGCCGCAUCACAGCACACACGACUACGGACCCCGCCCCAUCCGCCCUUCCCCCCGCCCCCCCCCCCCGCCCCCUCGCCCCUCUCGCCCCCCAGUGUGAUUGUCCAGAUGGCCAUCACCAUCAUUGCGCCGCUGGUGGUGGGGCAGCUGGUGCAGUACUUUGGGCCCGACCUGGUCAAGAAGGCGCAGGAGUACAUCAACUUCGGCAAGGUGCGGGCGCGUAUGUGUAUGUGCGUGUUUGUGUGUUUUGUGUGUUUUGUGUAUGUGUGUGUGUGUGUGUGUGUGUGUGUGUUGUCGUGCGUGUAUGGGAUGGGUGGGGUGGGGUGGGGUGGGGUGUAUGUCUGUGUUCAGAGCAAUGACACGUGCCUGUGCAUGUGAGUAUGGGGACUCUUUGACUUGACACUCUGUAUGCCACGCCCUGCUUCUGACCCUGCCCCUGCUCCUGCUUACCUGUUUGCCUGCAGGUGGGCAACGUGAUGAUCGUGCUGCUGGUGUGGAACACCUUCUGCAACACCUUCCACAAGGACAUCCACCUGGGCGCCGGGUGAGAGAGCGCAGGCCGCGGGGGGGUUUCGAGAAGCAGUGCGUGUGUGUGUGUGUGUGUGUGUGUGUGUGUGUGUGUGUGUGUGUGUGUGUGUAUGUGUGUGCACGGCGUGGGUCGGGUGGGUCUGUGUGUGUGAGCACGGGGUCUGUCAGUCGGGUGGGGUGGGCCGGCUGAGGUGUGGACUGGGUGGGUGGAUGGUGGCUGGGAGGCCGGAGGGGGCCGGGAUCGGGGAAGGGGGAGGGGGGUGGCGGGGGCGGACACGGGGUGUACAGGCCACGGAUGGGGCGACGCGGGGCCGGGCGCUGCUGUCUGUGGGCCGGACACUUCCCCACUGGGUUUCAGUUCCGCAUUGGGGCGGGAGCCAAAAUAUGCUCCUCCCCCCUGCACUUUGGCACCACCGGUGCUCACUGCCGUCUUGCUCGAACGCCUACCCCUAGAAUGGCAAAAACACACUCACACGAAUACAUACACACUCGCAUCGCGUACACAGUCCUGCGUGCUCCCUUGCCCUGUGCUCUCCCUAACCCACCCACCCCACACCCACGCCCCACACGCCACGCUCUCCCAAACCCCUACAGGUGUCCUGCGUGCUCCCUUGCCCUGUGCUCUCCCUAACCCACCCACGCCACACCCUCGCCCCACACGCCACGCUCUCCCAAACCCCUACAGGUCCUGGGUGCCCAUGUUGUUCCUGGAGAUCGGCAUGUUCCUGCCCUUCACCGUCAUGUGCCUGCUGCUGGCCACCUUCGUGCCGUUCAAGAAGCUGUUCAGCAUGGACAAGCCGGUGAGGCAGGGAGCGGGGGUGAGGGAGCGAGCCGGGGGGAGGGAGGGAGGGAGGGAUGGAGGGAGGGGGGGCGGGAGGGAGGAGGCGCGAGGGAGGGAGGGAGCGAGGGAGCGAGGGAGGGAUGGAGGGAUGGAGGGGGGGAGGGACGGGGAGGGGCUGACGGGUGACAGCGGUNNNNNNNNNNNNNNNNNNNNNNNNNNNNNNNNNNNNNNNNNNNNNNNNNNNNNNNNNNNNNNNNNNNNNNNNNNNNNNNNNNNNNNNNNNNNNNNNNNNNGAAUUCUUCGCUCCUGCGCCUGUCUACUGAUGGGGGGACGUGGCCGUUGCAGGUGCUAACGUAGAUGGCUCGGCAGCUUGAGUCGCGCUAGGAUGCGUGAGUUGGAUGUCUAGGACGUGGACAUGGCCGUGACGUGCACCAUUGUUGGUGCGCGUGCACCGAGCCCGAUGAUGGCCCUAGGCCUGAGGGACAUGCGUGAGUCUAGAAGUACCCCGGCGGGCAACCAACGGGAGAGACAAGCGGCCAAUUCGUAAAGACUUCAAGAGGUCAUGCACCUAUGGAUAGAUGUAAAGAAGCUGAGUGUGCAUGAUCCCACUGUGCUAUUUGGGGUACGACCCGAGGCCAAGCGGCCAGCGUAAAGACUUCACGCCGCAUACCUUUCGGCGCAGCAAUUGGGCGCAUACCCUUAACAUAUUCAAGCUGCACAUAUUAAGGACACCCACUGGCACUUUGCGCUCGUUUCUUUGCGCUUGUUUCAACAUGACAGUGGAGGGCCCCUUCUCUGAGGGCCCGCAAGACCGCAUUCUUGGCCGCGAGCCAACGAGCCAACAACCUAACAACAAUGAGCAGACGCCUGUAAAGGAGGCCCCGCCAACGCCUUCAACCGGCUCGGCUGACACUCCAGAGAAGCCCCACCCCGUCAAACGAUUUUUCCUUGCGGCGUGGGACCUCAUAUGCGAGCACUGGUUUAUCCUAGCGCUCGGGUUUGCCAUCGGCUUUGCCAAAGCGGUGCCUGACUUCGGUCGCAAUGGCGGGUGGAUCGCUGCGCAGUGGACCAUCAAAUACGGCGCUGUUAUCAUCAUCUUCUUUCUGUCAGGAUGCUCGCUAAAAACCAAGGCGCUGCUAACCGCGGCGACUCGGCUCCAUCUACAUCUCUUUAUCCAGUGCAUUUGCCUCGUGCUGACGCCAGCCAUUGGCUAUGGAAUUUCUCGCGGCCUGGCACGGACCAGUAUGAACGAGGACCUGGUCAACGGCCUGGUGGUGGCCAUGACCAUGCCCACGACCAUCAGCACGAACGUGGUGUUCACAAAGCAGUCGGGCGGCAACGAGGCCGCCGCGCUCAUCAACGCGGUGGUUGGCAACAUCAUCGGCAUCUUCGUGUCGCCAGGUCAGAAGCCUGGGAGCGCUGCGAGGGGGGAAGGGCCAAGCGUUGACGGGUUUGGGUUUGGGUGCGUGGGGCUGUGCCACGACUGUGCAGGUCUGGCCCGACUGGGCCCUGCCUCUGCUGGAGGCCGUGCAGCUUCACCCCCCAGCCUCAUCAUGAUACUACGUGUCGCAC
RNAcentral lists this long non-coding RNA (4086 nucleotides) under Chlamydomonas reinhardtii. RNAcentral's name for it is "long non-coding RNA (CREI_LNC000143)". Lineage: Eukaryota; Viridiplantae; Chlorophyta; Chlorophyceae; Chlamydomonadales; Chlamydomonadaceae. The record is from RNAcentral.